Molecule: long non-coding RNA, 847 nt
Filed under: Theobroma cacao (cacao)
Lineage: Eukaryota; Viridiplantae; Streptophyta; Magnoliopsida; Malvales; Malvaceae
Description: long non-coding RNA (TCAC_LNC006454)
Source: RNAcentral
UGGGAGUAUGCCGAACGACGUAGGUGACUGACAACUAAGAAUAAUUAUACGAGUACGAAUCAAUAACGACGUAAAAAUCCCACUAUUGUGAAGUGAGUAACCUUAUCAUCAUUUUAAUUAUCUAAAAUGGUCUUUUUAUUCGAUUCUGUGAAUUUUAUGAAAAAUGAGUUAAAUGGUUAAUUUUUAGGUUUUAUAAACAAAAUGUGUUUAAAUGAAACGAUUUUAUAAAUUGUCUUAAAAUUGAAUGAUGGCUUUGAAAAUAGAGUAACUGGAGACCACUUGAUGUGUUGUAAUUUAUGGUUUUAAUUGAUUGGCUUAUGGCAAUAUUGGCAUGAAUGUUUGAAUUGCUAAAUGUGCUGAAAAUGCAUGAAUUAUUGAUUUACCUUGAGAGGCUGUAAAAUAAAAGAAUUUCCAUGUCAUGCUAUUACAAAUUUAUUGUAUGGUGGGUUUAGCUUGUUGCAGUGGGCGGGUUUUGUGGACCAGCCUAUUAGAGGGGCACGGAAUCCGAUUAUAUUCAUACCUCAGUCGGAAAGGAGCGUAGGGUAUCUCUUGAGGCAUGGUUAGAGUUCACGUCACGCCGAACCACCUUGUGAUGAUGAACUUCGCUAACGCCAAGGAAUGAUUGUGUUUUUUUUUCAAACUAAAAAUAUGUUUAUGUGUACAUAACUUUUUAACAGCCUUGGCGGGCUCAAGUGUACGCCUCUGAUCAAGGUGUCAUCGAGUACUAUUUGAUGGCAUGAGCCAAAUGUUUAUGAAAGUCAUAAGCCUUGAUAAGAAAUUAAAUGAAAUACAACCAUUUGCAUGGGUUGGGAUGAAUUUUCAAAUUAUGAAAUACGUAAUGUGAUGG